AUGUACUAUGCAACCUAUUGCUAACUUAAAACAUAACAUUAAAACAACAAACAAAUAUAUCAUUGAAAAUAUUUAUAUUAUAAAAUAAAAAAACCAACAUUGUUUUAAACAAUUAGUUUUCAAUAUAGUUACUAUAUGUGCCCGUGCAAUUGUUCAUCCUACAAUAACCAAUCAUAUAAGUCAACUAGUCCGCAAUUACAAUUUUCAAUAUAGUCAUUACGUGUUCUGUGCAAUUGUUCAUCCUACAAUAACUAAUCAUAUAAGCCCAUCUCUUCAAUUAUAUAAGCCGAAAAUAUUUCAAACAUUUCUAAUAUCUUCAAUAAUAAGUUAGAGCAAGCCAUUGCUUACUCGAGAAAUAAAAUUUUGACGAAAAUUAUGGAAUUAUACCAUUGAAAAUUACACAGUAACAACUCAUGAGCCUGAAAUAAAAAUUUAACAUCAAUGGCCAAAUGGAGACAGGAUAAGGAUGGCCAGAUCAGAUUCAAAUAAUAAAACUUAUAAUCAAAAAAUGUUCCAGGCUCAUAAAAAAGCAUAUUUAUGUAGAUGGAAAUAUUUGACCACAGAAAUGAUUUAUACAUCCCAAGCCCAGAAGAGAAAUAACAUACAGAAACUCUGACCAUUUGAAGUCAUUAAAUCAUUAUCCAAUUAAAUUUCUAAUGUCCAUUAUCCAAUCACGAAAACACAAUGGAAUAUAUGGCCACAUAUAUUCCAUAAACCAUACAACUGAAGCAAUAGUUAAUAGCAAAUCAAGGCCGUCACUGAUUCACUGCUCUGUAACCUUCACUAAUGGGCUUUUUUGUUAAAAUUCCAACGCUUUGUAUUCCCAAGAAAUUACUCUCAAGCAAUUCAAAUCCAAAUCAUUUAAGAGUAUAAUCACUCACAAACUUCAUUUUUUCUUCGUCCAAUUCUAACAAAAAAAUUUGAAAAAAAAAAAAAAAAACCCAAAUAGAAUAACAGGGGCAAAGUGAACUGGCGUCAGGUGAAGAGGAAAACUGGAAAAGAGGAGAAGAGAGACCGGAGCGGCCAACGGCGGACGGGCGGAGUCGCAGAGAGUCAGAAGCGAGACUGAGAUUGACGAGCAAUCGAGCAGGCCCUGAGAUUCAAAUUUGGGAAUUUUUGUUUUGGGUAAAUGGUUACUAUGGAUUGUGGAUAUAUGGGGCCGUUUGGGCGUGAU
This 1174-nucleotide long non-coding RNA is filed under the name Olea europaea subsp. europaea. Lineage: Eukaryota; Viridiplantae; Streptophyta; Magnoliopsida; Lamiales; Oleaceae. The record is from RNAcentral.